This is a long non-coding RNA of Eublepharis macularius, 539 nucleotides long. RefSeq lists it as uncharacterized. The transcript is spliced from 4 exons. The record is from RefSeq and is a predicted model, not a curated record. Lineage: Eukaryota; Metazoa; Chordata; Lepidosauria; Squamata; Eublepharidae.
CCACCACCUGGCUACACAGGCUUGCAGCAAUAAGAAGAGGUAGGAAAACUGUGGAGAGGUGAAAAUACACAGGUACUUGGAGGUUGUAUCAGAAGAAUGGCAUGGAGAAAUGGGUUACCCCCCCUUCCCCCAUCCAACGUGGCUCAAAUAUACAUUUGGGAGAUCCUGCAAUUCAAAAAAACAAAAACCCACCAUGGAAGGCAGGUCCGGAUCACAGGUCUCCUAGAUUGUAUACAGUUCCUGUAUUUCUAGUUUUAUGAGAAGAUCUUUCCCAAAAUCAUGCAAUAAUCUAUCAAGAAAAUUGCACGCCACCUCUCCGCAUCUGCUCAAGGCAGCUCACGACUUAAAAGCGGCAUGAAGACACAGCAGGGCAAAGCAUGUGAACAUCAGACUGUGGACCCAUCACCCCAAAUAUAUCCUAUGCAAUUGCUUGUCAGCAGCUCUACAAAUGUGCAGGAACAUCAAGCACAACAUGUGUGGAGUCUCACUCUUGCUGUCGGACACAAAAGGCUUCUGGAUUAAAAUAAUAAGACCAUCAA